This 855-nucleotide ribosomal RNA is filed under the name uncultured bacterium. RNAcentral's name for it is "bacterial SSU rRNA". It matches the Rfam family "Bacterial small subunit ribosomal RNA", at positions 338 to 1216 of the family's 1533-position model. The record is from RNAcentral.
CCUACGGGAGGCAACAGUGGGGAAUAUUGGACAAUGGGCGCAAGCCUGAUCCAACCAUGCCGCGGGGGUGAUGAAGGCCCUAGGGUUGUAAAGCUCUUUCGGCGGGGAAGAUAAUGACGGUACCCGCAAAACAAGCCCCGGCUGCUUCGUGCCGCAUCCGCGGUAAUACGAAGGGGGCUAGCGUUGUUCGGAAUCACUGGGCGCAAAGCGCGCGUAGGCGGGUCGUUAAGUCGGGGGUGAAAUCCCGAGGCUCAACCUCGGAACUGCCUUCGAUACUGGCGAUCUUGAGUCCGGAAGACGUGAGUGGAACUCCUAGUGUAAAGGUGAAAUUCGUAUAUAUUAGGAAUAACACCAUUGGCGAAGGUGGCUCACUGCCCCAGAACUGACUCUGAGGCGCGAAAGCGUGGGGAGCAAACAGGAUCACAUACCCUGGUAGUCCACGCCGCAAAUUAUGAAUGCCAUCCGUUGGGCAGCUUGCCGCUCAGUGGCGCAGCUAACGCUUUACCCAUUCCGCCUGGGGAGUACCGCCGCAAGAUUACCCUUUAGGAAUUGACCGGGGCCCGCACAGGCGGUGGAGCAUGUGGUUAAUUCGAAGCAACUUAAACAACCUUACCCCCCUUUGACAUGUCCCGUAUGGAUCCUGGAGACAGGGUUCUUCAGAUCGGCUGGCGGGAACACACGUGCUGCAUGGCUGUCCUCACUCCUGUCGCGAGAUGCUCGGGUCAGUCCCGUAACUAGCGAACCCUCGCCUCAAUUUGCCAUCAUUGGGUUGGGCACUCUAGGGGGACUGCCGGUGAAUAUCUGCCAGGAAGGUGGUUAUAAACCCAGUUCCCCUGGCCCUCACGGGCUGGGCUA